UAUCGCAGAAAUGAUGUGCGUUCUUCCAGCAGCUCACGGCUUUUGGCACAGGGAAUUUGUUUGCUACAGGGCUGGAUUUUAGGCAUUCUUUGUAUAUUUGAGGGUGUAGAUUAGCGGGUUUUUCGCCUCACUGUUCCUUUAAUUUUUUAUGUGUUCUGGGUGUAUAGUGAAAAAGGAAGCAUUAACAGUACUGAUCGUAUUCGGGGAGGCAAAAAUAUUUGUAGCAGCUCCGUUGUUGAGAGGUCGUAAUUGCUCUCUUCGACUCUUCGGCUUGGGCGGGUGCCUUAUAGCAAUUCUAUUACAAGACCAUAGUCAUGAUUUGAUUUCUAUGUCU
RNAcentral lists this long non-coding RNA (334 nucleotides) under Oryza brachyantha (malo sina). Its description in RNAcentral is "long non-coding RNA (OBRA_LNC003574)". Lineage: Eukaryota; Viridiplantae; Streptophyta; Magnoliopsida; Poales; Poaceae. The record is from RNAcentral.